RNAcentral lists this long non-coding RNA (636 nucleotides) under Oryzias javanicus (javanese ricefish). RNAcentral's name for it is "lncRNA (ENSOJAG00000007111.1)". Lineage: Eukaryota; Metazoa; Chordata; Actinopteri; Beloniformes; Adrianichthyidae. The record is from RNAcentral.
AACGGAGCUUCCAUUCGAUGCGAACGGACAAUUGGUUUAAAUGAUGCUAGCGCGAGGAGUGUUCGAGCGGUCCGCGGUACACACGUGUCCCGCACCGUGGCCUCUGAUCCGUACGGACCACGGAAAAUCCGUGAUCCGUUACACCCCUAGUUUCUAGCCCAUUCUUGUGAGCGUUUGACGUGUUCUCUGUGAUGGUUUUGGUUCUGGAAUGACGGGUUUUUGGGCGUUCAGACUGACGGGUUGGACUCGUUCGUCAGCAGCUCAGACGUGGUCAAGACGACCUGCUGCCGUUCAAACAUCAGAACGAGGAGGAACUGAUCCCAUCCACCGAUAACGGGUCGGAUCGACUGUUUAGAACCGGAUCUGCAGUGAGAAGAACACAGUCAGGUGAGCGAGACUCUGACGGGUUUUCUGGUUUAGGAUUCAUCUCAGUCCGUUUCAUAGGAACUUGGUGGUUUAAACCGUUUCUUCCCUGACAACUGAAUUGGAUCUAAAUGUCCAACUUCUAUCUAAAUAGAAUUUUAUUCCAUUUCAUGUAAUUUUCCAACUUGCUGCUCUACAUUUUUUUUACUUUGUAAUCUUGAUGUACUCAUGUGCUCCCAGUCAAAUGAUCAACUUUUUAACAGAAAACUUUCC